Molecule: transfer RNA, 74 nt
Filed under: Opitutia bacterium AMD-G3
Lineage: Bacteria; Pseudomonadati; Verrucomicrobiota; Opitutia
Also listed under: 3 other names
Description: Opitutae bacterium AMD-G3 tRNA-Gly
Rfam family: tRNA
About the family: Transfer RNA (tRNA) molecules are approximately 80 nucleotides in length.
Source: RNAcentral
GCGGGUAUCGUUCAGUGGUAGGACCCCACUUUCCCAUAGUGGUGACACCAGUUCAAAUCUGGUUACCCGCUCCA